Molecule: ribosomal RNA, 433 nt
Filed under: uncultured bacterium
Lineage: Bacteria
Description: partial 16S ribosomal RNA
Rfam family: Bacterial small subunit ribosomal RNA
Source: RNAcentral
AACGAACGCUGGCGGCAUGCCUAACACAUGCAAGUCGAACGAGACCUUCGGGUCUAGUGGCGCACGGGUGCGUAACGCGUGGGAACCUGCCCUUAGGUUCGGAAUAACUCCCCGAAAGGGGUGCUAAUACCGGAUAAUGUCUUCGGACCAAAGAUUUAUCGCCUUUGUAUGGGCCCGCGUUGGAUUAGCUAGUUGGUAGGGUAAAAGCCUACCAAGGCGACGAUCCAUAGCUGGUCGGAGAGGAUGAUCAGCCACACUGGGACUGAGACACGGCCCAGACUCCUACGGGAAGCAGCAGUGGGGAAUAUUGGACAAUGGGCGAAAGCCUGAUCCAGCAAUGCCGCGUGAGUGAUGAAGGCCUUAGGGUUGUAAAGCUGUUUUACCCGGGAUGAUAAUGACAGUACCGGGAGAAUAAGCUCCGGCUAACUCCGUG